RNAcentral lists this ribosomal RNA (280 nucleotides) under Pseudo-nitzschia fraudulenta. RNAcentral's name for it is "partial 28S ribosomal RNA". It matches the Rfam family "Eukaryotic large subunit ribosomal RNA", at positions 186 to 475 of the family's 3401-position model. The record is from RNAcentral. Lineage: Eukaryota; Bacillariophyta; Bacillariophyceae; Bacillariales; Bacillariaceae.
UUCCUUGGAAAGGACAGCUGAGAGGGUGAAACUCCCGUCCGCCUGGUAGAAUGAGUCUUUGUCAACGAGUCGAGUUGUUUGGGAUUGCAGCUCUAAUUUGGUGGUAAAUUCCAUCUAAAGCUAAAUAUUGGUGGGAGACCGAUAGCGUACAAGUACCGUGAGGGAAAGAUGCAAAGAACUUUGAAAAGAGAGUUAAAGAGUACCUGAAAUCGCUGAAACGGAAGCGAAGGAAACCAGUGUCUGUUGGUUCAUAUUUCCUUGGCCACUUGUGGUUUGGGCG